AUUGAACGCUGGCGGCAGGCUUAACACAUGCAAGUCGAGCGGGGUGAUGGUGCUUGCACUAUCACUUAGCGGCGGACGGGUGAGUAAUGCUUAGGAAUCUGCCUAUUAGUGGGGGACAACAUCUCGAAAGGGAUGCUAAUACCGCAUACGUCCUACGGGUGAAAGCAGGGGAUCACUUGUGACCUUGCGCUAAUAGAUGAGCCUAAGUCGGAUUAGCUAGUUGGUGGGGUAAAGGCCUACCAAGGCGACGAUCUGUAGCGGGUCUGAGAGGAUGAUCCGCCACACUGGGACUGAGACACGGCCCAGACUCCUACGGGAGGCAGCAGUGGGGAAUGUUGGACAAUGGGGGGAACCCUGAUCCUGCCAUGCCGCGUGUGUGAAGAAGGCCUUAUGGUUGUAAAGCACUUUAAGCGAGGAGGAGGCUCUUUUGGUUAAUACCCAAGAUGAGUGGACGUUACUCGCAGAAUAAGCACCGGCUAACUCUGUGCCAGCCGCCGCCGUAA
RNAcentral lists this ribosomal RNA (503 nucleotides) under uncultured bacterium. RNAcentral's name for it is "partial 16S ribosomal RNA". It matches the Rfam family "Bacterial small subunit ribosomal RNA", at positions 30 to 523 of the family's 1533-position model. The record is from RNAcentral.